AGUGAACGCUGGCGGUAAGCCUAACACAUGCAAGUCGAACGGCAGCACAGUAAGAGCUUGCUCUUACGGGUGGCGAGUGGCGGACGGGUGAGGAAUACAUCGGAAUCUACUUUUUCGUGGGGGAUAACGUAGGGAAACUUACGCUAAUACCGCAUACGACCUACGGGUGAAAGCAGGGGAUCUUCGGACCUUGCGCGAUUGAAUGAGCCGAUGUCGGAUUAGCUAGUUGGCGGGGUAAUGGCCCACCAAGGCGACGAUCCGUAGCUGGUCUGAGAGGAGGUUAACCGACCUGGGAACGGAGACACGGACAAGACCCCUGAGGGAGGAAGCAGUGGGAAAUGUGGGACAACGGGCGAAAGCCUGAUCCAGCCAUCCCGCGUGGGUGAAGAAGGCUUUGGGUUCGUAAAGCCUUUUUUUGGGGAAGAAAAAGCAGUAGGUUAUUACCACGCUUUUCUGACGGUACCAAAAAAAUAAGCACCGGCUAACUUCGUG
Molecule: ribosomal RNA, 492 nt
Filed under: uncultured bacterium
Lineage: Bacteria
Description: partial 16S ribosomal RNA
Rfam family: Bacterial small subunit ribosomal RNA
Source: RNAcentral